AGAAAGCAAGGAAAGGCCUUUUUAGGAGCGCCUGAAAGUGGAACUGGAAAGCAAAAGCCAAUCGACUUUUACGGUCGAGAAAGAUGAGAGUUGUCUCGCGCUGUCUACUACUUACAGCUCCUUUUCUCACUUCUCUAUUACAUCUUUCGGCUGCCACCGUCGUCCUCAAUUCUAUUGCCGCUUCUUUUCCCGAUCUUCCUGCCAAUUUUGACGGCUCCGUCACCAGAAACGGAAUAUGUGGAGCUCUGUACGUCGCAGAUCCUCUCGACGGUUGCUCGCCGGUGCUCCACGCUGCCCCAUCUAACUGGACAGAACAGAGAAGUAAGUUCGCUUUGAUUAUCAGAGGCGAAUGUUCUUUCGAGGAUAAGCUGCUUAAUGCUCAGAACUCCGGUUUUCAAGCUGUGAUUGUCUACGACAACGUAGACAACGAAGAUCUCGUCGUUAUGAAGGUAAACCCUCAGGACAUUACAGUGAAUGCAGUUUUCGUUUCAAAUGUUGCGGGUGAGAUCUUGAGCAAGUACGCGAGAGGCCGAGAGGGUGAAUGCUGCCUUUAUCCGCCGAGCAAGGGGAGUGCUUGGACUGUGCUCGCCAUCUCAUUCUUCUCUCUCCUUCUAAUCGUUACCUUCCUCUUGCUUGCCUUCUUUGCUCCUAGACACUGGACCCAAUGGCGUGCCAGGCUCAACAGGACUGUGAGAGUUGAUGCACAGCUGGUCCGGACACUCCCCAGCUUCACGUUUAGUGAUUCUGGCCUGCACAAUUCCGGAGAAACAUGUGCGAUAUGCCUCGAGGAUUAUAGAGUUGCAGAAAGCCUAAGACUACUUCCCUGCCAACAUGCUUUUCACUUGAGUUGCAUCGACUCUUGGUUGACAAAAUGGGGUACAUCCUGCCCGGUUUGCAAGCAUGAUAUUAGGACCGAGACUAUGUCUUCCGAGGUGAGCCCAUGAGACUGACUCUGUUUCCAUAUGUAUUGUCAAAUCCCUGGGUAAUUGUCCGAGUAGGCACAUAAACGAGAUAGUCCUAGAACAGAUACAAGAACAGAGUAGAUAACUUUGCUCGAUCCAAUCAAAGCCAUAAUAUUUAUUAUUGGCUUAUGUCCAGAUCAGUGCUCGGUUGUGUGGAUCAGGUCCACGUCCGCAUCGAUCCGAUAUUUCAAAUGAUAUUGAACAGUGAAUCAUGUUGGUAUAGCUGUAUAAGUAUAGGUAAAGCCUUUGGAUUUGCCAUAUUGGUCGGGUGUCGAUACUCUGCUGGUUUUUCCCGAAUCAAACAGAUCUGAGUUGCUUUGCUUGCCGGCUUGUUGUUGUUCUUUCCCUGUGUACUUUCUUUGUAUAUUUACAGAAGGAUGCUCCAUAUAAAUGAUCAUUGUGUGUGCGCCUGUUGUUUCGUGAUAUUUUAUCUGCGAAUUUGAUAUCA
RNA transcript from Eutrema salsugineum, 1410 nucleotides. It is a transcript of the gene named receptor homology region, transmembrane domain- and RING domain-containing protein 1, with no coding region annotated. The transcript is spliced from 5 exons. Lineage: Eukaryota; Viridiplantae; Streptophyta; Magnoliopsida; Brassicales; Brassicaceae. The record is from RefSeq and is a predicted model, not a curated record.